CGGGGUGAGUAAUGUCUGGGAAACUGCCUGAUGGAGGGGGAUAACUGCUGGAAACGGUAGCUAAUACCGCAUAACGUCGCAAGACCAAAGAGGGGGACCUUUGGGCCUCUUGCCAUCGGAUGUGCCCAGAUGGGAUUAGCUAGUAGGUGGGGUAACGGCUCACCUAGGCGACGAUCCCUAGCUGGUCUGAGAGGAUGACCAGCCACACUGGAACUGAGACACGGUCCAG
This 229-nucleotide ribosomal RNA is filed under the name uncultured bacterium. RNAcentral's name for it is "partial 16S ribosomal RNA". It matches the Rfam family "Bacterial small subunit ribosomal RNA", at positions 104 to 334 of the family's 1533-position model. The record is from RNAcentral.